Molecule: ribosomal RNA, 460 nt
Filed under: uncultured Methylomirabilota bacterium
Lineage: Bacteria; Methylomirabilota (SeqCode)
Description: bacterial SSU rRNA
Rfam family: Bacterial small subunit ribosomal RNA
Source: RNAcentral
GGGCUUGACAUCCCACGAACCUGCCCGAAAAGGUGGGGUGCCCGCAAGGGAGCGUGGAGACAGGUGGUGCAUGGCUGUCGUCAGCUCGUGUCGUGAGAUGUUGGGUUAAGUCCCGCAACGAGCGCAACCCUCACCCCUAGUUGCCACCGGGUUAAGCCGAGCACUCAAGGGGAACUGCCAGCGUCAAGCUGGAGGAGGGCGGGGAUGACGUCAAGUCAUCAUGCCCCUUACGCCCUGGGCUACACACGUGCUACAAUGGCCAGUACAAAGGGACGCGAGACUGCGAAGUGGAGCUAAUCCCAAAAAGCUGGUCUAAGUUCAGAUUGCAGUCUGCAACUCGACUGCAUGAAGGAGGAAUCGCUAGUAAUCGCGUAUCAGCCCGGCGCGGUGAAUACGUUCCCGGGCCUUGUACACACCGCCCGUCACACCACGAAAGCUGUCUGUACUCGAAGUCGCUGAG